Molecule: long non-coding RNA, 1555 nt
Filed under: Glycine max (soybean)
Lineage: Eukaryota; Viridiplantae; Streptophyta; Magnoliopsida; Fabales; Fabaceae
Description: long non-coding RNA (GMAX_LNC003871)
Source: RNAcentral
AGGCAUAUAGGUGUUGCUUCCAGAUUUCUACAGAUUUUCUCUUGCUCUAGACAAGGGAUGGCUUUUCUAGUAUGGCUCUUGAUAAGCCAACACUUCCAUAGGUUUGUGGAGUUCUCGCAUUUUUCCAUUUCAGGCCACCUGUGAGCCUCAGAUAUCUGUUUUGCGGAGGAAUGCAUGCUCAGAGUCUUUGGCUACAAUGGGGUGACCUGAUAUGUGAAUGUAUGAUUGAUAUCUUUCACCUUAGCUUAUUCAAUUGUGAUAUCUUUUUGCAUGCUGAUGCAUCGCUCACUAUCAAUGUGUUGCUAAUGAAAUGAUCACUGAUAUUUUCUUUGCACACUACACACAUACAGAGGUUGUUUACUUGUCAAAGCCUAGCUAAUGGUUAAAAUGUUGAAUGUCCUACUUUGAAAUGUUAAUUUAAUUAUAACUAGAGGGUAGAAGAAGCUUGCACUAGGCAUGAAUAUAAUUGGGCAUUUUCUAUAUAACUGAACAACUGAUGACCACAUAUAUUAACUAAUUAACUAGUAGUAACAUAAUUAAGCAGUCUAAAUGUUUAAAGAAGCAUCUGUUUUUCAGACAAAUUUAACAGAACCUAGAACCGAAUGAAGUAGACAUUGCAGCUGAAAAGACUUUAGUUUCUGAUGAGGACACCUAACUGGAAAGUAUUCACUUUCUUCCACAUUAUUAGCAACACCUCAUGCUAGUUUACAAUUUGUGAUAUUUAUUGAUCGAUUGGAUUAACCUUUAAGUUCAUCUAGUACCUGCCAUGACUGCUUUGAACAAUGCUGUUCCAGUACUUGGGCUUGUACUACUUACAAGUUACAUGAACAUUUUUUCACUUUAUGGUUGUAAGCUUACACAUGAAAGUUGUCAUUGCUUUGUGGCUAGUGCAUCAAUGCUCAGCAAUGAUCAAUAGCACAAGGUCCAAAUGGCUCUUGGAAGAACAUGGCCACAUUAAAGCCGGAAUGACACAAGGCAUGGUUAUCCACGGAAUAUACGUUUUAUGCAUAUAUUCCCCAAUUCCGAGUUAUGAUCUAUACACAAGUAAAUAGAUUUUAUGCACUUUAUUGGCAUGUUAUACUUCUUUUCUAAUUGAGAAUCUUAUUUAUCCUUAUUUCAACUGUUAUCGGUGUCCUCUACGUCACCAUGUCUCUAGAGCUGGAGACCUUGGAUAACAGUUUUGGAUGGCCAAAUAUCUUUCAGUUGGGCAAAGGUAUCAUCGUCUGUGAAACUUUUUGGCUUCAAUCUGAUGUUUAAUCGAUGUGGAAUCCGGUGCUCAUUUGAAGCAUGUUCCUCGCAUGUCAAAACCCUGGUUUUGAAAAGCUGAAUAGCUUGCUGAACUUAUGAUUUCUUUCCCCUUCCAUUUUUAUUUGUUAGUACUGUUUAGUUUGACAUUUACGACCUCUAAACCCCGGGCUAGUCUGUUUCAUUUUACUCUCCUUAUUUUAACAAAAUCUCUUAAUUAUCCGGUGCAAUAUGUGAAAGGUUGUGUAAGUGGCAGCUUAGUCUGGCUUAACUUUUGAUAAUCAAGAUCUUAUAAACUUUUUAUGCCUCA